This 255-nucleotide ribosomal RNA is filed under the name uncultured bacterium. RNAcentral's name for it is "partial 16S ribosomal RNA". It matches the Rfam family "Bacterial small subunit ribosomal RNA", at positions 524 to 776 of the family's 1533-position model. The record is from RNAcentral.
UACGGAGGGUGCAAGCGUUAAUCGGAAUUACUGGGCGUAAAGCGCACGUAGGUGGUUUUCUAAGUCAGCUGUGAAAUCCCCGGGCUCAACCUGGGAAUGGCAUUGGAUACUGGCUCGCUAGAGUGCGGUAGAGGGUGGUGGAAUUCCCGGUGUAGCAGUGAAAUGCGUAGAGAUCGGGGAGGAACAUCUGUGGCGAAGGCGGCCACCUGGGACCAACACUGACACUGAGGCACGAAAGCGUGGGGAGCAAACAGG